CGCAGCUUUAUGGCCCGGCUGGCCGCAGC
This 29-nucleotide small RNA is filed under the name Bombyx mori (domestic silkworm). RNAcentral describes it as "ovarian small RNA-14328". The record is from RNAcentral. Lineage: Eukaryota; Metazoa; Arthropoda; Insecta; Lepidoptera; Bombycidae.